This is an RNA transcript of Cephus cinctus (wheat stem sawfly), 1843 nucleotides long. RefSeq lists it as uncharacterized. The record is from RefSeq and is a predicted model, not a curated record. NCBI's taxonomy places the organism in Eukaryota, Metazoa, Arthropoda, Insecta, Hymenoptera, Cephidae. The transcript is spliced from 6 exons.
UCAAGAUCCGUAGAAGUUCUCUAACGAGUAACGAGUGUUGUGUGUCUCUGGUUCGGCCGCGUGUCAAAUUAGGCAAAGAGGGCGAGUGGGGUUGAGGUGGGCGUUUGGCGGCAAAGCAAAGUGAAAUUUAUCGCCUUUGGCUUUUUGGAAUGGCGCGACUAUCCAGCAUCCACCCGGCACCACUUAGCUGCCCGUAAAUGUGUCACGUAUGAUCUGCUCACAGAUGUUUAACCAUAGAUCACGCGAAACGUGCCGUGCUAGGCGUCAUGGCGGCGAUGUGCCGUCGGGUUCGGUGUUUUUGAGACGGCAGUAAAAGGAUUCGGCAUCGAAGCAGAUGAGGAACGCCACCAUCCUCUAACAAUACCAAAAAUGAAAAAAGUAUUCAAACCGGAAGUCCAUGGCUCGGAGAACGAGUCCAAGGAUUUAACCCCGGGCAGUUGACCUCAAGACUCCCGCGGCCAAGGCUUUGCCAGAUAGCAGCCUUAAACUCCAGGACUGGUUGGGUGAGCGAAGGAGGGGCAAGACGCUGGAUAUACCAAGGGCAAUAUAACGGGUGGCAUCAUUUACCCCUCGCCUCUCUCCCCCAGUCCCCCCUAAGAACCAUAAUGAGGCUAAUAGACACGUACAGCUCGUAAAAAGUAUUCGUCGAGUUUUUAAAGUUAAGUGCCACACCCCCUCUGCCCCUCCAUCGUCAUAAGCCCGACGCUGCUGCCACCUACAACAAUUUUGUUAUACAGUCUUCAUCCAGGACGAAUGGUCGAGACUUUACAUCUCAUUGAAAAUGCACCCUUAAACGAUGAAAUACAAGUCAUCCACUUCAUCGUCUGAUUCAAUUCAUCGCUGCGGUUAUUUAAUCAAACAUCUCCCGUCUGGUGUUGUGUGUGAGAAGGGUGCGACCCUCCGACAUCCCUUAUACAGUAGCCAUUUGUCGGGUUUUGAGGGCCACCCUAAGGGAUCUUCCGACACCGUAACAAUAUGCUGUGCCGCAGGGGUGGAAAAUGGAUUUGACAAAUCGUUAAUUGACGCAACAACCGACCGCGAGGGUAGUUCUGGAAUUUUAAGAUACGAACCGAAAAUUGUGUCUCUUUGAAGCGGACCCACUUUUUAAGGCACUGCCGACAGAUCUACGGGCUGCCAUUGACGCGAGGCGAAGACAGGUUAAAGCGUUAUGGUUGUUCUUGGCGAAAGAUUGGAUUUAUGCGUUUUUAAAUGAGGCCAGAACGGACAGAGAAAAAAAGACCCAUUAGGCAUCACGAUGAAAACCAUAGUGAGAACACGAUUCUAUACUUGGGAUUUAUGGGGAUUAUUAGUAUCCCAUAGAGACAGAGGAAUCUAUGGGAUUCAAUUUAUAGUUCUGUACUUAAAUAUAUAUAUAUAUAUAUAUAAACACAGGAUAGAUUAUAGAAAAGAGAUAAACGUGAGUGACGUCACGACCUGAAGAUCUUGCAGAUCCAAUUGGAUUGUUCGAUUGGAUUAAUUCGAACAAUUAAUAUAAAUAUAAUCCUAUAACCCCGUGCUUCAUGGGUUUUCUAAUCCUAGGUUGUUGUACCGUUAUUAGUAUAUAUUAUACAUUCUGUGUACCAGUACUACCACUGGUUUUACAACUACUAGUCUAACUCUAGUCUCAUAGUAUUCUAACUUUUUUCUAGGGACAUUUGAAACGACUCAAUUCGCCCUUUGUACCACUGCCGCUCUAUGGAAUUCCAGGUGCAGCUCAUCGAUCAUCAUUGGUUGCUGAGUAGCAGUUCUUUACGUAUAAUAUAAUGGCAGACACGAUCGUCAUCCAGUAUUAUACAUAAAGAAGAUAUACAGGGUUAGUCAGUAGAAACGCACCAGCAGAAGU